This 587-nucleotide ribosomal RNA is filed under the name Baryphas ahenus. RNAcentral describes it as "eukaryotic LSU rRNA". Lineage: Eukaryota; Metazoa; Arthropoda; Arachnida; Araneae; Salticidae. The record is from RNAcentral.
GAAAUCCUGUGGCGAGAGGAUUCAGUCUGGCUCUGUGGACCUGCGGUGGGAAAACUCGGGUAGGGCUUCCCGUGACUGGGGCCGUCCCAUUGCAGGGCUUCCGCUGUUCCAGACGCAUUUGUCUCUCGUCCGAAGGACGCUGCAGCCGGUUUGGAAGUGCAAGCGCGACGGCCUGAAGGUCGGGUAAUGGCAGGUGGCCGGCGGCUCGCCUCGUGUGGGUUGUCGGUUGUUAGCCGUCCCGUCAGUGGCUCGUCUCCAGACCGAGGUGUCGCGAGUCCCGUCAGGGACUCUUCGUCUCCACCCCAGAGUUGCGAGACUGGUCGUGGCAAGGGCUCCGUAUUCCCACCGUCGCACUACUAAGGAGUGGGCGGAGGGCUGCGGGUCCCCGUUGGCUGCGACGGACUCGUAGGGGACUUGAGGCUCGCAGCGAGUAGGUCGGUCACCCACCCGACCCGUCUUGAAACACGGACCAAGGAGUCUAACAUGUGCGCGAGUCAAUGGGUCUUGAAUAGGCCCAGGGGCGCAAUGAAAGCGAAGGACUGCCCAGCGCAGUCUGAGUGGGGAUCCCUCUCUCUCGGGAGGGGGCG